GGGCUGUGAGCUGGUGCGGCAGACAGAGUGCCCAGGUCCCUCUGCUGGGCCACUCACACCCAUGCGUGUGCACCCAGUGGGGUUCUGGGUCUGGCCUCCUUGCCUCUGUGAACCAGACCCCAGACCCCGAGGGCUCCUGUGCCUGCAGGGAGGGAGCACCUUUAAUUGCUGCUCUGUGGCACUUUUAAAUUGCUGGGAUGGCUGUGCAUGAACAGCAUUUGUGUGCCUAACACUUUUCAAACAGUGCAAACAUGAGACCCUGAUUAAGGGGAGAGGUUUAGGGCCGGACCGGAGACCCAGCUCUCCGACCCGAGAACCGCUGCCGUAGCUCGCUCUCCAAGUUGUCUCCUGGCCCAGCCUCUGAGUGUUGCCUCCUUCAUCCCUUCUUUACUUCUUAUCUACGGUUCAGUCCAUGUGACUUGGCUGUUGUUCAUCCGCCUAAAACACUUGCGUUGCUUCCGAGAAGAGAUUUUACUCAGGCUCCUGGACCUUCUCUGGGCCCAUCAGGGCCCUUCCCUAUAAGAGGUAGUUUGAGCAGGACCCCUGCUGGGUCUGUUUAACUAGCACCCCUCCCCCCGGCCUGCCUUCAGCCAGAGUCCUGUUAGGUUGGUUUAGCCAGAGCCGCUGGCACCUGACGUUUCCUCUUGGUGUUUUCCACCCUCUGACCCCUCCUGGCCCUGGGUUGAGCCCCAUCUCGCUCCCCACUGUUAUCCCUUGGCAGCGUCCCGCCGAGACGGUCCUGAAUCAGGUCUGCCUUUCCAGCUUCAACAAGUGUCACUGAUACAAACGCUCAGGAUGCACUUGCUGUGUGCCAGACACUCUCCUAAACAGCUCUCUGCAUCUGUCGGCUUCAGUCCUCAGAGAACCCUCAGUAAGGGGCUGUUACCCUCCCUUCAUCCUCCAGUUUCCUGCGUGUUACCGCUGAGGGCCAGUUGGGUAACUUGCCCAGGGCCAGCAGCCGGUGAGUGGUAGAGCUGAGAUUUAAACCUUGGUCCGUGCUCGUGGUGCUACGCUGCAUCUCAGGAGAAGCGCACAGGAGUGAUAAACCCCACAGGGCAGUGACCAUGACUCCAGCGUGGGGGCGGGGUGGGGUAUACAGCCCAGGAGGGCAGGGGAGGAGCCUUUGGUGAAAUGGGCAGCAUUUUCUUUCUUUCUUCUUCUUUUUUUUGCUUUUUUGCUUUUUAGGGCCAAACCAGCUGGCAGCUGUAGCUCCAAUUAGACCCCUAGCCUGGAAACCUCCAAAUGUUGAGAGUGCGGCCCUAAAAAGCCAAAAAAGAAAAAAAAGAAAAAAAAAAAAAAGAAACCAAUGUCUUGGGUAAUAGAAUGGGAACACCUCACUGCACUGGGCACCCCACACUCCCCUGCUCUGUUAAGGUUCCGAUGAGCAACAUGGUAGAUCGCAGCCGGAGCAGAACCUCCCAGGUCCAGAGAACAAGACGAGGAGGGUGUUGCUGCUGCUGCGGGCUGUGGCUGCCGUGGUCCUCUUACCUGUGAAGGUGAUGCCAGGCAGGUCCCCUGGAGCCUGCACACACAGGUUCUUGAGCAGGGUCACCUGCUUGAGUUUAAACAGCCAGUGAUGGUCACAGCAGCUCAACUCUCUGUGAGUUUGCGAUCCAAGGAUCCUGUCUCUAGAGAACUGCCCGAAGCUGGAGGCCCCAGACUGCACAUGCGCUGCAGCCAGACAGGAGCACCGUAGAUUCUCCCCCAGAGGCUCCCCUGAGGGUUCCUCUAGCUCUUGGCCAAGUGAUGGAAUCCAGAAUCUUCACAAAGGCCAUGCCUGCCUCUCCAGCCGUCUGCCCAGCAGCUCUGCCUUUGGGCACCGAGUCCCAGCCACACCAGCCGUGUUGUAAACCUUGAAAGUACGGAAGCCCUUUCCUAUCUCAGGACCCCCGUCCGCCCCUGUCCCAGCUGUGGGAGUGGCUUACCCCUCCCUUCCUCAGGGCAGCUUUCUCUGAGUCCUAACCUAAGUUAGGGUCUUUUCUCCCAGCACUUUUCAUCGUGCAACUUGUGUAUUUGUGGAAUCAUUUUUUUUUGGCAGCACCCACAACAUAUGGAAGUUCCAGGGCCAGGACUCGGACCCCUACCAGGGCAGUGACUCAAGCCACUGCAGUGACAGUGCUGGAUCCUUAACCUGCUGCACCGUAGGGAAACUCCUGGGGAAUCAUUUUAAGAUAAUAUCUCUUACUGGGCUAUGCACUACAAGGACGAGAACCAUAUCUCUUUAUUUUUCCUCAGUGCACCCAGUGCCUGGCACAAAACAGGCACUCAUUGAGUAUUCCCUAAGGCAGGAAAUGAGAGGAUAGUGAUACUGACCCAUGUCGUGAGGGUGAAAAUGAUAGGCAGAUAACGUGAGAAAAACGAGUUUGAACCCUGUUUACCCUGCCCAGCUUUCCUUAUUUUCGUGCACAGCGCUUACCACCUUCUGGUGGCCGUCUGUGACCCAUCGUGUUUACUGUCAUCUUCCCCAGCGAGGUGUGAGCACAGGGCUGGGAGUCUGCCUCUGUUCCCUGGAGCAGUGGCCGGCUGGGGAAAGGCUAAGGGUGUAUAAAGCACCAUCUUGGACUGAGAGAGGAGCUGGGUGGUCUCAGGACUUGGAGGAGUGUAGCAAAGGCGGAAGCAGUUACCAAGAGGAUUUGGGCAGACCACACUGGACUGUAAGGGGAGUUCUGGGCAGCUGGAGGGGCUUUGAAUGGAUGGAAUAAGCAGGGACAGACCUGUCACUUUCUGAGCCUGCCGUUGGGAGCACUCUGAAAACCAGACUGCUGGUUGGGAAGGUCCAGAAGUGUGGAUGGCAGGGUGAUAGGAAGGCCAGCGGGCCUGGGCCUGGGCAGCGUAAAGCGGCUGGAGGAGCAGGAGAGGGACUGAGGCCCUCCAGCGGGAGCGAGGGCCAGAGGCUGGGCCCGCGAGGGGUGAGGGGCAGUGCAGACGCCACAAGAGGAGCUCCUUCUAAACGGGGUCCGAAGAGCCCUGGCGGGGCCGUCUCAACUUCCUGCCCGUACUUCAGCCUCUUGUAGAAGAGCAGUUAUAGGAAUCUAGAAAGUUCUUUGGGCCCUGUAAUUACCGUUGUGGCGCAGUGGAAGCGAAUCUGACUAGGAACCAUGAGGCUGCGGGUUCCAUCCCUGGCCUCGCUCUGUGAGUUAAGGAUCCAGCAUUGCCAUGAGCUGUGGUAUGGUAUAUGGGUUGCAGACGAGGCCCAGAUCGGGCGUUGCUGUGACUGUGGUAUAGGCCCAAGACCACAGCUCUGAUUGGACCCCUAGCCUGGGAACCUCCAUAUGCCACGGGUACAGCCCUAAAAAGACAAAAGACAAAAAAA
This 3313-nucleotide long non-coding RNA is filed under the name Sus scrofa (pig). RNAcentral's name for it is "lncRNA (ENSSSCG00025052626.1)". Lineage: Eukaryota; Metazoa; Chordata; Mammalia; Artiodactyla; Suidae. The record is from RNAcentral.